AAAAAGGCAAACCCUGGUUUCCGUGUCCAACGUUUGACCGUCCGUCUUAUUUAAAAAAUUAUGAAAAAAAUUAAAAAGACAAGUCACGCAUAAAAUAUUAAUCAUGUUUUAUCAUCUAACAACAAUGAAAAUAUGAAUUAUAAAAAAAUUUCAUAUAAGAUGGACAGUCAAAGUUAGACACGGAAACCCAGGGUUUGCCUUUUU
This 204-nucleotide microRNA precursor is filed under the name Oryza sativa Japonica Group (Japanese rice). Its description in RNAcentral is "MIR812 microRNA precursor family". It matches the Rfam family "MIR812 microRNA precursor family". The record is from Rfam by way of RNAcentral. Lineage: Eukaryota; Viridiplantae; Streptophyta; Magnoliopsida; Poales; Poaceae.